Musa acuminata AAA Group (dessert banana) is the source of this 1308-nucleotide long non-coding RNA. RefSeq lists it as uncharacterized. The transcript has 2 exons. The record is from RefSeq and is a predicted model, not a curated record. NCBI's taxonomy places the organism in Eukaryota, Viridiplantae, Streptophyta, Magnoliopsida, Zingiberales, Musaceae.
GAUGUGGUUUUCCCUACGGCUGCUUCGUUCGUCCCAUCCCCCGCCAAUGGUCGGUUCUCCGCGAAGAAUAGAACCCUAAUUCUACUAAUCGCAUCUAUCCUUCGUUGCUUCCGCGUGGUACAUCGAUUGCUUUUUUCUGUACGUGAUCUUUAAUCGGCAGAUCUGCAUUUAGUUUUCCCGAGUUUGAUUUGCAUUGCGAACUCUGGCACUGGACUUGGUUUCUUUUCCUUUCACCGCUCGAUACGCUAUCAUCGUACAACUAUCGACGAGUUCGCGCACAGAGAUUUCUGAUUUGUUCUCUGGGAUCCUGUUUCUGAUGAUCCCAAAUCGAAAGUCAUGGCUGAAUGGGAGCAGAAAAUGUCUUUUUUUGGUGAUUAUACUUGAUGCGUUUCUAUACAGUGAUGCGUGAUUAACUAUCAACGAUUUAACUGUAUAGUUUGUUUUGUAGCCAAGAAAAGGGAGAAAAAAGGAAAAAACUAGCACCGAAGCAAGUUUGAGAUUAUUGACACAAUGUCGCCUGUUUCCCUUACUUCGUUUAACAUCGCUGUUUGUGUCCUCCAAUUUGCAUGAAUUGUACAUUUUGAUUUGGUAAUUGAUGUUGGUCGAAGCUGCUUCAGAGGAGGCUCAUUAGUAUCCUUCCGCCAGUGGAUUUGAUGAAGGCAGAUACAACCGUAAGAUCGACAUGUUUAAAGGAUCAAUGAGGCUUGCUGUGGACAAAUGGCGGCACAUACAAGUGACAGAUCCAGCUGAUUUCACUGUGAACGAAGACAAUAAUCUUUCUUUGAUCGAGUACGAGCUGGUGACUGUCGUUGAAGGGUGAUUGAGAACUAGCCAUGCCAAGGCAUGACUUCAUGAAUCAGUAUUGGUUUUCUAAUGAACUGUGAGGAGGAUCUUCCGAUCUCUCUCAGAUGCUUUUCCUGAAGUUAAUCGGCUGGAGUCUGUUAUGGUGAAAAAUAGGUCUCGGAUACAGUCAUGAAGAAGCUACCACCCGAAGGUGAUGAAUCCUUGUCAACACAGCACAGCUCACUGUGAUACUGAAAUUGGCAAGAUGUUGGUAAGCAUAAUAUUGUCAUCUAAAACCUGCACUUUUCAGUUAUUUGUGAAUUUUAAUUUCCAGAUGUCGCCACUCUGGUCGUUGCUUUUUAAUGGAGUGGGUGCUUCUAUCAUGUCGAGAGAGAGGAAACCACAGGUGAUCAUUUCGCCAAUGUUGUUCCUUAGAUUAUCUGCUCAUUUUUUGUGUCCGAAAACACUUAUCACUACUGCAUUUUGUUGGAAAAACCCCUAACUGGAAAGCUUGACGAUCACCGA